AUACGAAGGGGGCUAGCGUUGUUCGGAAUUACUGGGCGUAAAGCGCGCGUAGGCGGAUUGGUCAGUUAGGGGUGAAAUCCCAGGGCUUAACCCUGGAACUGCCUCUAAUACUUCCAGUCUUGAGUUCGGGAGAGGUGAGUGGAAUUCCUAGUGUAGAGGUGAAAUUCGUAGAUAUUAGGAAGAACACCAGUGGCGAAGGCGGCUCACUGGCCCGAUACUGACGCUGAGGCGCGAAAGCGUGGGGAGCAAACAGGAUUAGAUACCCUAGUAGUCC
This 274-nucleotide ribosomal RNA is filed under the name uncultured bacterium. RNAcentral describes it as "partial 16S ribosomal RNA". It matches the Rfam family "Bacterial small subunit ribosomal RNA", at positions 523 to 796 of the family's 1533-position model. The record is from RNAcentral.